This 449-nucleotide ribosomal RNA is filed under the name uncultured bacterium. RNAcentral describes it as "partial 16S ribosomal RNA". It matches the Rfam family "Bacterial small subunit ribosomal RNA", at positions 29 to 523 of the family's 1533-position model. The record is from RNAcentral.
AAUGAACGCUGGCGGCAGGCCUAACACAUGCAAGUCGAAAGGAUCCUUCGGGCUUAGUGGCGGACGGGUGAGUAACGCGUGGGAGCAUAGCCAAAGGUACGGAAUAGCCUCGGGAAACUGGGAGUAAUACCGUAUGUGCUCGAAAGAGGAAAGAUUUAUCGCCUUUGGAUUGGCCCGCGUUGGAUUAGGUAGUUGGUGGGGUAAUGGCCUACCAAGCCGACGAUCCAUAGCUGGUUUGGGAGGAUGAUCAGCCACACUGGGACUGAGACACGGCCCAGACUCCUACGGGAGGCAGCAGUGGGGAAUCUUAGACAAUGGGGGAAACCCUGAUCUAGCCAUGCCGCGUGAUCGAUGAAGGCCUUAGGGUUGUAAAGAUCUUUCAGGUGGGAAGAUAAUGACUGUACCACCAGAAGAAGCCCCGGCUAACUCCGUGCCAGCCGCCGCAGUAA